This 921-nucleotide ribosomal RNA is filed under the name Niphargus sp. NC810. RNAcentral's name for it is "partial large subunit ribosomal RNA". The record is from RNAcentral. Lineage: Eukaryota; Metazoa; Arthropoda; Malacostraca; Amphipoda; Niphargidae.
UCUGGAUCAGGGUUCCAUGUCAACAGUGAUUGAACAUGGGUGAGUCGAUCCUAAGCCAACUGUGAAAGCAGUGACAUCCCGACAAAGGGGCAUUACGUGUGCGGCAGUUACACCCCCAAUAAGUUUCUCUCUCUCUCUCUCUGUGACGAURAGGUGUCUGGCACGAAAAAAUGCGCACACACAAUGAUCACUGUACAAAAGUGAGUGUGUGCGCUUGUCCGGUUACGCUCAURAGCGUUGUGUUGCUCUCKGGUAAAAUUKGGAUGGGAGAGAGAAAAAAAAUGAGAGACUGGGUGAGCGUAAAAAUGCCAUAACAGCAUGAGCCCCCUGCGUCUGGUUCUAUGUCUGGCGAAAGGGAAUGGGGACUUUGUUCCUUGACCGGUCCCGGCUCCCUCGAUUGGCUUUGCCAAUCAAUGGUCCAUGCAAAUGGAACCAGGCCACAGCCGCUGGCAGUCGCCCGAGGAAGAGUUUUCUUUUCUGCUUAACGCACGAGGUCAUUCCUGGAAACAGUUCGGCUGGCGAAAGGGUGUCCCGCUGCGGCAGAGCGCCACGACUGUCGUGCGCGUCUCGGUGUUCCUGCCGGUCCGUGAAGACGUGGUCGAGGGGAAUGCUCUUGUAUCAACGAAACGCCCGACAAGUUCGGGACGGACCGUACCCUAUAUCCGCAUCUGGUCUCCAAGGUUCGUAGCCUCUGCAGAGUCAGACACAUGUAGGUAAGGGAAGUCGGCAAACUCGAUCCGUAACUUCGGGAAAAGGAUUGGCUCUGAGGGCCGAGUUGGGCCGGGCCUUGCCUGCAAAGCAGUACCUAUAGUGACCGGAGUUUCAGGAGUGCGAGGGGCUCUAGUAGCUGCUUGUGCGUGUGUGCGUUCGCGCGCGCGCGUGUGGGCACGAACGAGUCCACCGCUCCGCUCCAACCACGAA